Equus caballus (horse) is the source of this 3824-nucleotide long non-coding RNA. The record is from Ensembl. NCBI's taxonomy places the organism in Eukaryota, Metazoa, Chordata, Mammalia, Perissodactyla, Equidae.
CUCAAAUUCUUUGACAGUUCUUUCCUCAAAAGCGGAGCCUAAUUCCCCUCUCAUUGAGUGUCGGUUGGACUUGGUGGCACUUUUAAUGAGUAGAACGUGGCAGAAUGAUGGUUUGUGACUUCAGAGCUGAGGACAUAGAAAAUAUUGUGGCUUCCUCCCUGUUCUCUUUCUUGGACCACUUGUUCUGGGGAAGCCAUGUCAUGAGGAUGCUUAAAUGACCUUGUGAAGAGAUCCAUGUGGUGAGGAGCUGAGGCCUCUUGCCAACAUCCACGUGAGCGUGCCAUCUUGGAAGUGGAUUCUUCAGCCCCAAUCAAACCUUCAGAUGCAGGUGCAGUCAACAUCCUGACUGCAACCUCAUGAGAGACCCUGAGCCAAAACCAUGCAGAACUCUUUGCCUCUGGAUUCUGCAGUUGGUGGUAAAGUACUGAAACAUGCAGGCCUCAGGGCUUCCCUUUAUCUGUGAAACUGCAGAAGAGGCUGGCUUAGGCGAACUCAGGUGUGGAAGCUGCUGAGGGAGCCAGAAACCUCGGCGUAGACUUUUUCUUUGUGAGUAGAGAAGACUGGCUCCUAAAGGGGAUCAACUGAUAUUUCUAAACUCCCAGGGAGUGGAGCUUCCACGAGGCAUCGCGAUUCAUUGGCCAGAAGUAUCUGCUCCAGCUGCCAGGCCACAGUUAUCAGUCCAGAAAUAGUUCUGAAAAUGAGGCCAGAACCCACGUUAAUGAAGCCUGAUUGCCUCAGAAUUAUUGUAUGAUGAAUUAGCAGCUUUGCCAGUAGCCCACGUGUGCGGGGUCAGUGACAAUUUAUGGUGAGUCACAUUUAAGUAGUUUCAUUCAAUUCAACCAGCAUUUACUGCAUCUACUAAGCACAGAGCCCUGGGCAGGCCCAGUGCAAGCAAAGGGACUGAAUUGAACAUCAAAUGACAGGGGUUCUAGGCCUACCUCUGCCAUAACGUUCUGGACAGGGAGAAGGGAGAGCGACAAGGAUUGCCACAGAAAAGGCUUAGGGAAGCAAAGCUUCACAAUGGCUGGCUUACCAACGCCAAGGAAAGCAAAAUGAAUUUCAGACCAACACUAGUCAAAAUUGAUAUCUAGAUGUCUAUAUGAGUCAGUAUCCUUUGGUUGCAAUUGACAGAAACCCAACUCUAACUAGUUUAACCAUGAACUACAAAGACAAAAACAAUGACAAACAAAAAAGAAAAUGUAAAGAAUUAUUUAACUGCAACAUUCAAUGGGUUGUCUAACAUCAGGAAUGGCUGGAUCCAGGUACUCAAAUGAUGGCCUUUGUCUUUGUUUUCUUCUAUAUCUGGUUUAUUCUUAGGCAUUCUUAUCAUCAUAGAUUGGGUUCCCCUACUCACCUACCACCACCCAAAGCAGUCUCCAGUGCAGGUAGUUUAUUUAGGAGAUGUGGCAACCAUGAAAAUGCACCACUCAGAUCUUAUGCUGCAGGAAGCAUCAUUGACUGACAGCCCUGCCAUUACCCUUCUGGAUGCACCACCAUGUUCAUGUGAAAGCCCCACUUCCCAUGGGCUGCUCCCAGUGAAUGACUGAGCACGGCGAGGCCAUUAAGGCAAGCCCAUUCCUGGACGAUGCAGGACUCCUCUGACACGUGGCUUUGAGUUGAGAAUCCCUCAUUGGCCUGGCCAUACUUGUCUUGGAACAGUGCUACGGUCUGUGAGUUUUCCUGACCAAUUAACCCUGCUUCCCUCUCCCCUUUACAGGAUGAGACCUAUCUGCUGCAGCUUCUCCUCUUUUGCCUUCACAAAUGUUUCUCCCAAUAAAGCUCUUGCACGUCUAAUCUCAUCUUGGCACCUUCUUCUCAGAGGCACCAAAUCAACACAGGAGGUAAUCUCAGGAAGCAUAAGGGAGAAAAUGGGGAAGGUGAGACAGAUAAGGGAGAAAAGUCAAUAGAAGGUGCACUAAUGAGCAGGUGACUGUUGUGGGCAAGUCAUCCUGGGGUUUUCUUAGAGACCAUGUGGGUCAUGCUCAGGAUCAUCCCACCAGAAGGCAGGGACCCUAUGGCACUUAUCUACUGUUUUCCAUUUCCCACUGGCAGAAGGUUUUCCAAGUGUAUCAGCUCUCUCACACUUCAGAGUUGCAGAGAAGUGUUCUGGGGCACCAACAAAAGACCAGGCAGAGAAGAAGGGAGAUAUAGAUGCCUGAGGUUGGAAACAGCCUAUUAUGGCUGUAGGUAAACUCAGGUGGGCCCGGGGAAUAUGGUGCAGGGCGUCAACAGCAUCUACUACAGUCAUGGUGGGAAAAAAGUAAUAAAGCACUACUGGUGGCUUACAAUAUCCCUAAAGAUAGCAAUUCCAGAGAAUGUUUCUCUCCCGAGAAUUUCCUGGGAGUGCCUCAGAUUGGCCAAACUCAUGUCACAUGGCCAUCGCUAAGCCAAUCACUGUGCCUGUGGAAAUGGAGUGUCCUGUCACACUGGGGUGUAUGAUCCAGCUGCCUCUCCAACUCACAUCUACUGAGAAUGGAGCAGGGAUGGCUCCCUGAAUGAUGUGCUGAGCAGAUGAAAAUCUUAUCACCACUACUGGAUACGGUCUUAAAGCUUGAAGAUGGAGGAAGAUUCCUGAUGGCAGAACUUUUCAGCAUCCGGUCAGGAGGUGCACACAGCUAAUGCCUAGAGACCUCAGUAUGACAUGGAUUCUCGGGAGCUAAGUUCACCCUAUAGCACACUGGAUACAAUUACCAGAUGUCACUUACUGGUGGGGAAGCAGCCCUUUGCUACCUCCAUGCUGAGCUUUCAUUAGCAGAGCCUUCGUUGGCUGGGUCCUCAGCGACUCAGGACAUGGGGAGCUGGAAUGUGGAAAUGGCAUCUUCUCAUUCCUAGACUCAUUGUCAGCCCUAGAGAAUGGCUGGCAAUCUCAAGGAUGCUGUUCUCCAGCUGCUUUCCACACUUUUCUUCAGCCACGGGCACAGGCCAUAUUUGUGUUUGGUUUGGGAGGUGGCCUCUGCCCCAGUGCCCUGUGGUGAGGAAACAGGAGAAGUGUACAAUUAACAAUUAACAGCUUUAUCUCUACUCAUAUGUAAGAGACGUAAUUAGCUGGCUCCAUCUGUUACUGAUACCUGCUGGAGUCAGCCAUUCACACUUCAGCCAGAUAUUACAGUGAGUGGGAGGGCCUGAAAAGGAAACAUUUCAAAAUAACUCACCUUUCCUUGUUUCAGACAUCCUACCCCCGUUCAGUCGGUCUCCAACUUUGCUUUCCUCAGGUGUACACAAUUUGCUGUCAGUUGGCAAGGAAGGGUGUUAGCUAACGAAUAUGGAAGCCAAUGGUGUGCAUGAUUUUCCCAGAAGCUGAGCUUUGAUUUAAAGAGAGAAGACUUCGUGUCUCUUGUGGCAGUAGUGGGGCACUGUCCCAGCUAGGGCCACAUCGCAGUACGCUGAUUGGUCUCAGUACUGAGAUGAAAUAUUUUCAGAGGGAAAGGCUAAAUUUGGAAGGACCAGCUGGAGCCUCUAGAGUAAGUCACUGGCCCAAGAUCAAUGUUACAAAGGUAGGAAGGAGAUGAGCUGAGACUUGCCUCUAAGCCUAUCCAACUCCAAAGUCCAUUUUCUAAAUCAUGACACAUCACUGAUGUUGGGGGAAGUUUUACGGACAUGAUGGUCUCAUGGGACUUAAGAAAGUCCAAGACCACUUUUAUUUUUGGAAGUCAAAACAGCCAUGCAAAGAUGAGGCAUUUAAAAAGAAAUAUUUCCACCUAGGUAAUUAAUGCUUUUAAUGUAAAAAGGUACAAUGCAAUAUAGUUGGGUUAUUCACAAGAUAAUUACAGGACUCAUAAAAUAUUAAUUCACAGCACAGUAUAAGUGGCAGAGCCUGAAUGGGG